This 185-nucleotide small nuclear RNA is filed under the name Erinaceus europaeus (western European hedgehog). RNAcentral describes it as "7SK RNA". It matches the Rfam family "7SK RNA". From Rfam's summary of the family: 7SK was discovered as an abundant small nuclear RNA in the mid-70s but a possible function has only recently been suggested. Lineage: Eukaryota; Metazoa; Chordata; Mammalia; Eulipotyphla; Erinaceidae. The record is from Rfam by way of RNAcentral.
GAAUGUGAGAGUGAUCUGGCUGCAACAUCUGUCACCCCAUUGAUAGCCAGAGUUGAUUCAGCUGAUCUGGCUGGCUAAGCUGGUUUCCCCUUAGUCCCUCACCGCUCCACUUGUGUCCCUUAGAAGUUGAGUGCUUGGUCGAAGAUGGCGGCCUUCCCCAAAGAGAGAGUGACUGGUCAAUGACU